CUGAGAUUAAUGGCCCUGGGUUGCAGCCAAAAGCAUCUCAGAGGGUAUGAUGCAUUUCCUGACUGUAGUCGGCUUUCCAUGGGUGAAACAGAAAAGUCUUCAAAUAUCCUCACCAACUGCUUUCCUAGAUUUUUCAGCCAGUUACUUGACCAUAUUAGGAAAAAAAAGGUGAGCUUGGGCUUCAGGACAUACAAAACAACAUUAGUUAUGCUGGAAAGUAUCACCAAAGAAGUGCAGCUCAGACAAGCUGUAUUCUAUUUUGUUCUUUUGAACAUAAACACCUACAAAGGGACCAAAAGAAAUCUAAAUGAUCAACGCGAGCAAUCCUGAAUAGGCAGCAACGAUCAUUAUUGCCAAGUGAUUGUCUUAUCAUUUGUCAUCAGUUUUUUUUUUUUCAGAGUAAUUACAGUUAAAUGUAAA
This 420-nucleotide long non-coding RNA is filed under the name Pongo abelii (Sumatran orangutan). Its description in RNAcentral is "lincRNA". Lineage: Eukaryota; Metazoa; Chordata; Mammalia; Primates; Hominidae. The record is from RNAcentral.